Molecule: ribosomal RNA, 1251 nt
Filed under: Triticum aestivum (bread wheat)
Lineage: Eukaryota; Viridiplantae; Streptophyta; Magnoliopsida; Poales; Poaceae
Description: partial small subunit ribosomal RNA
Source: RNAcentral
AUGAGGUCGUUGACGCCGCCGCAUGUGCCGGGGCUGUGGGAGAGGGAAGAACUCGUGGAGGUCCUGAUCCGCAUUCCGCCGGACGAGCCGGCGGACCUCAUCCGCGCCUCCCUCGUCUGCAAGGCUUGGUGCCGCCUCCUCUCCGGCCACGUCUUCCGCGGCCGCUACCGCACCUUGCACAAAACACCUCCAGUCCUGGGCUUCCUACAAAGCUGGGAUGACAACGUCGAGCGCUUCGUCCCGACCACAAAAUUCCGCCCCCGCAGUCCCAAGCGUCGGGACAGCUUCGUGCUCGACUGCCGCCAUGGCCGCGUUCUUCUUGGGUGUGAGUGGGACAGGGAAGAUGAGGAAGAGGAGGAAGAGGAGGAAGAGAAGGAAGAGAAGGAGGUGGAGGAUGUCAACUGGAAGAUGGUCGUCUGGGACCCAGUGUCUGGGAGCCGGACGGAGUUGCACAACAUCUUCGGCCCUGACAGCAACCGCGCAAACUAUACGGCCACGGUGCUCUGUGCAACGGAUGGCUGCAACCACACUGCCUGCAACUUGGGCCCAUUUUUCGUCGUUGUAGCUUUUGUCAGCCUUCAUGAUAAGAGGCUCGUGUUGGCGUCUGUAUACUCAUCGAAGACCCGGGAGUGGACCUCGCCGGCCUCUAUUCAUAUCGGCGGCGUUGGAACACUUGGAGCCUACAUCGUCGCAAGGCCUGCCGUUAUCGUUGGACAAGCGCUCCACUUCCUCCUUCGUCGAGAUGAGGGCAUUUGCAUUCUCAAGUAUGACUUGGUUAGGCAUCGCCUAUCGGUCAUUGAUCCACCAGGGCUGCGUACAUUGACGUGGAACCCUCUCCUCAUUUCGCCGGACGACGGUGGGCUGGGUGUCGUCCACCUAGACCAGCAUGGGCUAUGCCUCAUUUGGUCGAUGGAGGUGAGUCGUGAUGGAGAAGUGUCAUGGAUUCAGGUUAGAGAAAUGGACCUCAAGACACUUGUCCCCAGUGGCAAUCCCAGGACCUCAUAUUCAUUAAAGUUGGUUGGCUGUGUGGAGGGCACCGAUAUCAUCCUUGCGAUCACAUAUCUUGGUGCAUUCCGAAUUGAUCUCAAGUCCCUGAGGUUGAGAAAGUUGUCGAGUAAGCCAAAUAGGGGCACAAUUGAGCGGGAAAUAUUUGAGAACCUCUUUCUCUACAUGAGCUUCAACAAUCCACCAGCGGUGGCAAGUGCUGUGGCGGUGGCUGAAACAAGUGAAGCAGGGCGCCGUGUGUCUUGA